RNAcentral lists this ribosomal RNA (467 nucleotides) under uncultured bacterium. RNAcentral's name for it is "partial 16S ribosomal RNA". It matches the Rfam family "Bacterial small subunit ribosomal RNA", at positions 28 to 506 of the family's 1533-position model. The record is from RNAcentral.
GACGAACGCUGGCGGCGUGCUUAACACAUGCAAGUCGAACGGAAAGGCCCUGCUUUUGUGGGGUGCUCGAGUGGCGAACGGGUGAGUAACACGUGAGUAACCUGCCCUUGACUUUGGGAUAACUUCAGGAAACUGGGGCUAAUACCGCAUAGGAGCUCCUGCUGCAUGGUGGGGGUUGGAAAGUUUCGGCGGUUGGGGAUGGACUCGCGGCUUAUCAGCUUGUUGGUGGGGUAGUGGCUUACCAAGGCUUUGACGGGUAGCCGGCCUGAGAGGGUGACCGGCCACAUUGGGACUGGGAUACGGCCCAGACGCCUACGGGAGGCAGCAGUGGGGAAUAUUGCACAAUGGGCGGAAGCCGGAUGCAGCAACGCCGCGUGCGGGAUGACGGCCUUCGGGUUGUAAACCGCUUUCGCCUGUGACGAAGCGUGAGUGACGGUAAUGGGUAAAGAAGCACCGGCUAACUACGU